This 521-nucleotide ribosomal RNA is filed under the name uncultured bacterium. RNAcentral's name for it is "bacterial SSU rRNA". It matches the Rfam family "Bacterial small subunit ribosomal RNA", at positions 20 to 518 of the family's 1533-position model. The record is from RNAcentral.
UGGCUCAGGACGAACGCUGGCGGCGUGCCUAACGACAUGCAAGUCGAACGGGGAUUUGUUUCGGCAGAAUCCUAGUGGCGAACGGGUGAGUAACGCGUAGGCAACCUGCCCUCCGGCCGGGGACAACACUCCGAAAGGGGUGCUAAUACCGGAUACGAAGUCUGUGCCGCAUGGUACGGAUUUGAAAGAUGGCCUCUAUUUAUAAGCUAUCGCCGGGGGAUGGGCCUGCGUCCGAUUAGCUGGUUGGUGGGGUAACGGCCUACCAAGGCGACGAUCGGUAGCCGGUCUGAGAGGAUGAACGGCCACAUUGGGACUGAGACACGGCCCAGACUCCUACGGGAGGCAGCAGUGGGGAAUCUUCCGCAAUGGGCGCAAGCCUGACGGAGCAACGCCGCGUGAGUGAGGAAGUUCUUCGGAACGUAAAGCUCUGUUGUUCCUGACGAACCUCCCUUCUAUCAACAACGGAGGGGACUGACGGUAGGGAACGAGGAAGCCACGGCUAACUACGUGCCAGCAGCAGC